UUUAUAUAUUUUUUAUUCAUUCAAAGGAUAAUUUAGUCCUAAAUCUCAGGCACUGAUCAUGGUAUAAGAAGAUCACCACGUCUUCUUGUAUAUCUCCUCCAAGAAAAGAACAAGCAUCAAGAAUUGAAGACUCAACAACAACUACUCCAUCCAGUAAUAUUAAUACAAAAACAACUUCUCAACUCUCCUACUGCGACAACAUCUAUCCACAGGUCAUCUCACAUGGUGACAACUCUUGUGCCUUAAGACUUGUCUACAGUAUUAGAAAAACCAAGCAAAAAUUCAAAUGAACUUGCUAGACGUCAUAAAGCAAUGACCACCUAAUAUUAUCUACAGUAGGGUUCUUCAGAAAAGACCAAACCCAGCCCAUUCAGCAUCACUCACCACUCGGGGAGAUGACCGGUACGAUGAGAAAGACGACGCCGAUGAGUCAUGGAAAGGCGAAAGUGACUUCCGGCUUGACAGUGACCACCUAGCAAGUGUCUCAAGGUCAGAAGUAUAGUCGGAUUCGGAUUCAGGUACCUGGGUGGUUCUUCUCUUGCUGUCUUUCCUCCUUAGUAAAGGGGAUGGAAAGCAUCCGGGCGAGACACAUUCGGGGCUGACACGGGUGGGUUGGUCGAACCGCCAACGCUCAGAGCGGGUACGUGGAGUUGUACGGAAGGAACGGGUACGGGGCUCCGGUGGAGGGAGAAAAAUGAAUCCAGCUGGUGGGGGUUUAAGUUUAAGCUUUUGUUGAGUUCGUGGAGUAGGUGGUGAACGGUGAGGGGUGAAAGGCGGUGAUGGGGAUGGUAAAGCGGGUGGUGAUAAUUGCUUUGGUUGGAGUUUUUGUUGAUGGGUAUGGAUCUUGGGAACACCGGGUCGGAUCUCCCACUUAAAAGGGACAGCUCCAGGUUUCUUGAAGGAAUCAUCUAUAUCAUCCACAGCCAUAUCUGCUUUGAG
This 939-nucleotide unclassified non-coding RNA is filed under the name Hevea brasiliensis (rubber tree). The record is from RNAcentral. Lineage: Eukaryota; Viridiplantae; Streptophyta; Magnoliopsida; Malpighiales; Euphorbiaceae.